GUCCCUACGGUGUUUGAUAACUUCAGUGCAAAUGUGGUGGUGGAAGGCAGCACUGUGAACCUUGGCUUGUGGGAUACUGCAGGUCAAGAAGACUACAAUAGGUUGAGGCCUCUAAGUUACAGAGGAGCUGAUGUAUUCAUACUAGCUUUCUCACUAAUCAGUAGCGCCAGCUAUGAGAAUAUAUCCAAGAAGGUUAUCCAUCUUGUAACGCAUUAGAAAGAAUCUCUUUCAUUAUGAUAAGAGGAGUUCCCACUAAUCUCAAUUUUGCUUCUAAUGAUUUCAGUGGAUUCCUGAACUAAGGCAUUAUGCUCCAAGUGUACCCAUAGUGUUGGUGGGAACUAAACUUGGUAAGAAAAUAAUGCAAUAGAACAUAUGCAAUUCAUACAAAUAUUUCAUUAUUGUCACAAAACGUAUAAACCUUACAUCAUUCUACUAGCUUAUGAAUUGCACCUUAUUGAAAUUUCCUAGCUCAAUACAGAUAAUUCUACUUGUGAUUCCGUGCAGAUUUAAGAGAAGACAAGCAAUUCCUCACGAACCACCCGGGCGCAAUAACAAUUUCAACUGCACAGGCAAAUUAUAUUAAUCUCUGAAACAAGAAUGAUUGGAAUAAAUAAGGUUUAUUUACAAAAUGCAGAAGUGAUAUUUUCUUUUGGAGCAGGGGGAAGAGCUGAAAAAAUCGAUUGGUGCUGCUGCCUAUAUUGAAUGUAGCUCAAAGACCCAACAGGUAAACUUUCCUAAUGGCCAUUGCGUAGAAGCUUUAUAAAUUCAGCUAAAGCAGUUUGCACAUGAAGUUCUAGAAGUAAAUAAAGCAUUUACAUAACAGAAAGAUUGUUUGCAGUAUUUGAUAAUAUUAAAUGAUUGGUCUCCUACUCUGCAUUAGAACUAUAACCUUUUACGAAAUUCAUGGCUUUUUUUAAAAAAACAUGUAAUGUUUUCAAUGGUUUAACACAAACUUAAAUGCACCACUGAAAUAUGCGACUUACAGAUUCUAAAAUUAUGAUUUAAUUUCAUGUAAUAAUAGUCGGAAGAAGCAUACAGAUGAACUCAUUUGUAAGUGCUGCAGAGUUUAGGGUUUAGAUAUAUAAGAUGAGAAUUACUUCUGUGGUAAUGCAGAUUUAUUCUCUCUUAACUAUUUAUUUUUUUUUCUACAGAACGUGAAGGCUGUUUUUGAUUCUGCAAUCAAGGUGGUGUUGUGUCCGCCAAAACCAAAGAAAAAAAAGCGAAGGCAAAGAACUUGCCUAAUUCUCUAAGUAAAUGAACCUUGAAUAAAUGAAAUGCAUUCCCAGUAAUCCAAUUGUUUUAAUCCAACAUCUACAAUGGUUUUUGUUUUUCUGUUUUCUUCUUUCCCAGAAAAUGCUUUGUAAUUAAUAUAGUGAGCGAGGGGUGUGUCACAAUAUGAAAUGUUCUUUUUUUAUUUUUCUAACCUUUCUUUUAAUCUGGAAUUCUAGAAUAUUUCCAGAAUAGUAUGUGUAUGUUGUUUCCAUCAUAGGGAAAUUUCACUCUAGAACUUUGUGAUGAUUGCCUUUCUGUUACUAUGGUGCCAGAUAUAAAGCAUUCUCAUGGAAAAGAAAAACAUGAUGAACAUAUCAAACUAUAAAAGUUUUAUGGUAUAAUUGAGCAUUGAUAUGCUAUUUAUCCCCCUCAUUCAUUUGCUUAAUUUUUUAAAUCAAAUUAAUAUUUUCCGUUAUAAUGAGCUCCAGUUUAUAAACCAAUAAUCUAAACAGCUUCCAAGAAACAUAUCUGCAUAUGACAAAUAUUACGGGUAAAAUAACUAACAGAAACAGUAAAUAUCUCAAUAUCAAAAUCAUAUUUAUCAUCAUUAAGCUAGUAUUGAACUUACAGUUUCUAGCUUCAGCGCAUGCUUGAGUUCAUGUCCUUUAGAAGCUCAAAAAUUGAUCUGCUGUUCAUUCAUUUACAAACUACAACCAAACACUACCAGCCAAUUUCUGUUUUAUAUGUGAAAAGUUAAACAAAAGAUAAUCUGAGCAGAAACGUGACAAAAGUUUUGCCUUUCCAGUAGGGUGAACCAAAUCUAAAUGAACCACAAUAAAAGAAAUUCCUUAUCAUAAUUGAGAAUUCUUCUUCCUAUUUAUUUUAUAUCCUUUAUAUAUUUAACAAAAAAAGGCAAGGACUCAGCUCAUGACAGAGAUUUUUUUCUCUGAAAAGUCGAAUGGAGAUUUAUUAGGCGAGAAAAAUAACAAAACUGGCCUCAAAAUCCUUCUAUAGUUAUCUUAAAUGAAGAGAACUGCAGUUUCAACACAACAUUUCUACGCCCGUGGUCACCUUCUUAUUUCUAGUCACUCUUUUCAUUUUAAAUAAAAAUGAAAAUUUAAACAGAACCAGAGAGAUGGAGUUCAACGGCUUGAGCAGAAGUGAAUCUAAAGAAUCCUCUCUAAGACUAUAUAUGAAUUGAGUUAUUAUUUAUGAUACAGAACGCUAGCACUUGUUCUAAUGCAUAGCAUAAAAUUAACCAGCCAAGGGUAAAAGUUUGGGUAAAAGGAC
Dendrobium catenatum is the source of this 2502-nucleotide RNA transcript. RefSeq lists it as uncharacterized. The record is from RefSeq and is a predicted model, not a curated record. The transcript has 2 exons. Lineage: Eukaryota; Viridiplantae; Streptophyta; Magnoliopsida; Asparagales; Orchidaceae.